UUUUGUUAAUCGAAUAAUUCAGAUUUUACUAUUAAUUAUUAAGAAUUAUUAAAUAAUUUAAGUAAAGUUGUAAAGAUUAAUAGUAGGAAGUGAUAAGUUAUUCGUUGAAUUGUAUACCUAUUUAGCUAUUGAAUGAUUUAUUAUUAGAUAAUAGGUUAAAAGAUCUAUUAUAGGUUUACACAUUAGAAUUACUGUUUAAUAAAAUUAGGUUAAAGGUACCUAUUUUUUAUAAGUUUGUUAAAAAUUUUGUUAAUUUAUGAACAUGUUAAUUGAUGUAAUAGCUUACUAUAAUAAUUAGACUAUAAUUUAUUAUUAAAUAAGUAAUUAUAUUAUGUAAAUUAUUUCUAAACACUUUUCCGUCUGUUUAUUAAAAACAUUUCCAAUUAUAAAAUUUAGUUGGUAGUACCUGCCCAGUGUGUUAAUAAAUGGCCGCAGUAUAUUGACUGUGCGAAGGUAGCAUAAUUAAUUGCCUUUUAAUUGGGGGCUUGUUUGAAUGGUUUGACGUGAUAAGUUGUAAUAUUUUAUAUAUUUGUGAAAUUAGUUUUGAGGGUUCAGAAA
RNAcentral lists this ribosomal RNA (558 nucleotides) under Taenia pisiformis. RNAcentral describes it as "partial 16S ribosomal RNA". The record is from RNAcentral. Lineage: Eukaryota; Metazoa; Platyhelminthes; Cestoda; Cyclophyllidea; Taeniidae.